GGCGAGCUGGGACCUUCGGCCGGGGAUUUGGGGGGGAUGGAGGCGAGGGUACCCGGCCUUUCUCCCUGCCGCCGCCGGGCUGCCGUGGGCCCCACGCGAAAGUCCGGAAGGUGGAAGGGGCGGGCCGGGACAGGGCAGGGGGCGGCGGAGGAGGCCGGUAUCAACUUUCUUGGCUCUUCUCGUCUUUUUCGGCUCCUUUGUUCCCCCCCGCCCCCUCCCCGGUCCUGGCGGGCCGCAGCUCCCCAGCGCCUUUGUCUCCCUGGCGGAGCCGGAGGGAGCAGCCGGAGGGGACGCGGCCGAUGCCCCGGCCGGGGAGGGACUCGGUACCUGGGGAGGGGCGGUGCGAGGGUACGCGGUGCCUCGGCCGGCCUGCAGGGAGGGCCCGGGCCCUUGGCACUUGGUGGCCGCACUUUGUGUUACCGUGGUAGUUUCGACCACUGCGUGGCACCAGCACGGCUGGGUGGCACAAACCGCCCCCGGCCGCCGGCGGCCCCGGUGACGUGCAGCAUCCCGGCUGGAGAUAGGCGCUGUCGCCUGAUUGUGGCCAGGAAACAGGUUUUUGGCAUCUGGAAUUAAGUCCACUUUCAUUAACUACCUUGAGAUAAUGAAGAUGGAGCCAAGUAUUUUAAGCUUUAAAAAUACACAAAACCAAAGUAAGAAGGCCCCUACAGCAAGUGGAGAAGAGGUGACCUAGGGAGAAAAAAACUGUGGAAUUCCUGCCAUGCUGCUCUGUUGCUGAACUGAGUUCCCUGCAGCCCCAAAAGAAGAUUUCUGCUAAUAAUACUACAGAGGCAAGCUGGCAGUCUGCGUAUUAAUAUUUUCAGUGAUGUGGAAUUCUCUCCUGAAAUCAUCAUAUUCAGACGUUCUAAGACCGUGGGGAGAAUCUCAGUUUAUAUAAACUAUGUAAUAUUUUUUGAAAAAGUGAAUCCUGUGGUUUCAAAAUUCUUAGUAAAAGCACUCACCCCUCAGUGUCAGCCUUUUCAAGCCAAAGUAGUGAUUUUUGCCUCACUAUUUUUGAAUGCUUGUGGGUAGCAAGUUGCGUCACUACUGCUGCUGCCUUAGGCCUGUUUAGGAGGAUUUGGGUUUAAGGUUAAAUCAAAGUUUGAGGUUAAAUCAAAGUUUGUCAAAAAUCUGUUUCUUCUUUUGUGGUGUCAUUCACUUAGCUCUGGUUCUCAUCUGUUCAAGGAAAUCCCUCAGUGCUGAGGUGAUUUAGGGUGAAUCCUCACUAAAGGCUGUUUUACAUGACAGAGAGAAGUGUUGGAAAGAGGUCAGGGUUUCAUUGGCAUAAUCCUAUCUCAGGGUUUGGAAAAAUUUACCUUUGCUGGAGUUCAGUUGACUUUGAUUUGAGGAGGCUGCCAUUCCAACACAAUGGUUCACAAAAAAAAAAAAAAAAAAAAAAAAAAAAAAAAAAAAAAAAAAAAUCUGUGAAAAUUGGGAACACAUUCCAGCCAGGAGUUCAGAGUAUCUUCUGAGAUCUCAGGAAUCACUGUAGGUUUGCAACUGGCUGGUUCGGAGGUUUUCACCUUCCCUACCUUCAGAUGUCUGCUAGUUCUUACAGAAAGAUCUAGAAGCUUUGCAAUAAUGCUUCUUCCACGCUGUCGAAAACUACAUACCUGAGGAACUGCGAUGUCUUUAUUCCAAUUAUUUAAAAAAUGCACAUAUUUCUUACAUGAAAAAUGUGGAGUCACACAAAGGAUUGCUUUCAGUUGAGUGGUUUUUAUUUCCUGCCUAUAAAUUUAUGACAUAGCUCAGAGAUGACAUAAGUCAAAAGCUGGUAACAUAGUUACAGACUAUGGAAAAAGAGCUGGCAGAGAAUAGUCCUAUGCUACUAUUACACCUGGAAUGAAACUAACUUGUGCAGAAAUGACUCACAUGUGUAGGGGAGAUGAGCCUUGGAGAAAAGGUACCUGCAUCCUCCAAGUGAUGGUUUGUAGAAGCAGUGCAGUGGUCUUUGAAAUAUCCUGUUGGUUGAUUGUGCUCUCUGGCACUAGCAGGAACACUUGGUACACAGUGAAGUUAUAUUGGAAUUGAGAGUGGCAAAUCUUCCUAUUCUCUGCUGUUUCUUUUUUUUACCCUGUAGCUGAUUUAUACAUGAUUGCCUUCUUCUGCUGUCCUACCUUCAGCCUCCAGGGCCACAUUUGUGGUUGGUGUAUGAGGAGCAGGGGAUGAGGAAUUGUGCUCUAGGCUUCCUGCAGGUGAUAAGGGCAACAAGCACUUCACACAAACGUCUUUUGAUGACAUCUGGAUGGUAGCUCAUUUAGCGAAAAUGCAUAUAAGGUAGAUUUAGAUUGGAUAUUCAGAAGAAAUUUUGUACUGUGAGGGUGGUAAGGCACUGAUGCAGGCUGCCCAGUUAUGGGUGCCCAUUCUCUGGAAGUGUUCAAGGCCAGGUUGGAUGGGGCUUUGAGCAGCCUGGUCUAGGGAAAGGUGUCCUUAAUUGUUUUUCUUUUUAAAAAGUGUAAUGAAUGGCAGUAUUCAAAUUCAUUAGAAUAAGACUUUUCCCUGUUGCUUCAAUACCUUAAUGUUAAACAUUAUCAUAUGCAUAACAGCAUGGUAUAUAUUAAACAAAGAAGUUCAUAUUGAGUCAAAUAAUUUACAUAAUUAUUAGCAGGUCUCUUUGCUAGUUGUACAACCUUUAAAAAAAAAAAAACAAAAACAAAAAAACCAAAAAAGCUGAAGAGUGUAAUCUCCUUUAUAAAUGCUGCAGAGGCCGUUUUAUAUUUCUGAGACUUGGGAUAUCCCGCUGUCUCUUUAUGAGAUAUAUCUAGGGAUAAUCUAAAACUGGAGUUAAUUAGUGCAAUGUUUAUUCUGAUGUUAAUAUUAUUUUUCCACUCAUGGCUCUUGUUUGGUAUCUCUAUUAAAGCGCUAUGUGUUACUACACAUCAGUUUAGACCUAAUCCACCCCACUCCUAUUUAUCCUUUUGCUUUCUGUGUGGGUGUAGCUUCCUUGGUUUAAAUAGAAGUAGGCUUAAUCAAGUGUUUAAGUUUACAGGGUACAAUAAAGGGUACAAUACAAUAAUACAUUAAUACUGUUUUUGCUAAAAUGUGUCUCUAACAUUGUUCCUUUUCCCCAGCUGUCAACCACAUACUUGAUUUUCUUAUCACUUUAUCUCAAAUUAUUUCAGCAUAGCUGUCUCAAAAAUUUUACAGAUCAUAUAUAAAUAAAAACAUACUUUAAGUAACCUUCUUAAAUUUUUGAACAAACACAUCACUAAAUGGAGAACAAUAAAUAAAUAAAAAGAAAACCCAGUCAAACACACUUUUACAAAACCUAGCUAAUGAACUGUAUCUCCAGCAUAGAUAUAAAAUUCCAAAGUGAGUUGAGGAGGUGGAUAAUGAGGGACUGAAGGGCCUUUGUCCCUGUCUUUGUGCUUUUGAGGAUAACUUUGCCAAGUAUGUUUCAUUGGGCACUGAGGGAGUUUGUAGGCACUGAAUUCUUGCUUACUCCAGAAGCCAGGCAGUGAGCUAUUGGUAACUGAAAGCUGUUUUGCCCCAUUCCCUCCCAUCUUGGUUAAAAAUAACUUUUAUUUACAAGGUUAUAUUUGCUCCUGGUCAGUCCAUGAUCUGAUUCACCAUACAGCCAGACAGGCAUUUCCAUAGCCAACUGAGACAUUGCUAAAGGAACAAGAAGCAAGAAUUACCUAAGCUGCCAAAAGAAGUGAGCUUCAGGAACAAAAUAGCAUCCUUACCAUGGACGGCCAUACCAUGGCCUUGCUCCAAACUGGCAUGACAGGGACAAGGGAGUCCCUCGUCACUUUUGUAGAGCAGGAGUAGCAAGAGACUACUUUCACCGCUCUCUGCUGUAGCAGCAGUCUGUUCCCUGGAGAAAACCACCUGGAAGGAGGGGAGGUUGUAGAUAAGCCUUCCAGUCCUUACACUCUCUCGAGUGACUGGCUGGGACCUGCCGCUGUGCUUGUCACAUCCAUGCUCGACCCGAGGGGCUGUUGACAGGAUCCUGGGAGCACUUUGUUCAUACACUAUUGACAUUCAUGGUGCACUUCACAUUUCCCAAAGUUAAUGAUCCAGACUGUCUGCAGAUGCAGGCAGACAUCACUGCUCAGACCUGUGGUGCUGAUGAGCUAGUUACAAAAAUCGUAUUUUACCUAGACUGACUAAAUACAUAUAAGGUUUAUGAAAAUUGACCUUUCUUGUUGGAUGAGUUUCAGGAAACAAUUUUUCACUAAAUGACUGGCUUGAAUCUGGGCCAAAUUGGUAAGUCUGUAAGUCUGGACUAAGCAAGUAAUUUUUGAACAAAUUAUUUAUUCACUGAAGAUAGCUGCUUUUCCUCACUAGUACAUAGUUCAUGGACAGACUGUGAAACUCUUUAACUUACUUGUAAUUCAAAGUUAUUCAUACAUUUCUUCACAUAAUAAUUCUUGGUCUAAAACUAUUUAUGAAAAGAUUAUCAGUGCCUGCCAUGAAGAGACAUGAAGGAAUGGAAAUUAUGUCUGGUUCAGAAUCGGCUUGAAAAUGUAGAUGGAUAUGCUCUAACGUGAAGAAACUCUUCACUGUUCAGUGAAUGUGGCUGGUUUUCCUCAAAUCAUUUAUUUGACAGACCAGUUUUUCUGGCAUUUGACCAACUUCAUAAUUCAUAGAGAAUUUCCCUCCCCCCCGCCCAUCAUUUUCCCAGCUCUGCUGAAAGACUUGCAGCCAGACAGCUGUUCUGAAUGAAGUGUAUAUAUGGCCUCAUAUUGGUUCCUAGUAAAUAGGUACACUGGUGUGAAGCCACACGUAUUACCUUGGGGCCAUCUUUGCAGAGGACAAAAGGACAUGGACACUUGCCUGCCCACUUUGUAAUAGAAUUGGCCCCUCUGGUAUGAGCUGCAGUUAAUAAACAUUAGAAGAGCAGCAUGAACUUUCUGGUGUGAAGGGCAACACCUGUACCUGCUGUGCUGUCAGAACAAAGCUAGCCUGCUGUACCUUUUAGCAUCCCUUAACUGCUCACAAAGAGAAAGGUGAGGAGGGAGACCUGCUCUUUCCAAUCCUAAUUCACUCCUGCAUCUGGGCAAAGCUCAUAUGGGCAUUGCUCAUUGAAUCCCUCAGCUCUUCUGCAGAAAAGCUGACACUGCCUGGGGUUUCUGCUUGGAGUCCCAGACCAGGACAUUUAAAUUCUCUUUCCUCCAGUGGUAACAUAAUUCCUUUGGUUAACCCUUUGGUUAACCUCAAACCAAAGAGACUGAUUCCUUUCAACUCCAUCACCUUUCCUCCCUUCACUCUCCACUAUUCCCCUCUUGCAGCCCCUACCUUGUUCUUUUACCUGCUGCACUUACUUUUUUUUUUUGUGAUUCAUAGCUUUUCUCUUUAGUCUUUGCUAUUUUGGGGAGGAGGAUGUCUUUCCUGGCCCCAGUUAGUGCUCUUUCAAGGUUUGGCUUAUUCUUUAUAAUAUAUCCCAUUUUUUUUCUUUAUUUUAUAUUACAAUGGACCCUCCAGCUGGUAUUAACAAUCACUGAGAGUUCCUACCCAAAGAAUUUAGAAUGCAGAUGAAUUAAUUCCACAGGUUAAAGAGACCCAUCCUUUUAUAAAUAUAAAAUGCUCAAAAAGUAAUUAAAAUUAUUAAAAACCUGAUUUGGUUGUAUCAGGAUUAUAGGUAUUAAUAUAAAUACUAAUUUAGGGAAUAGACCAUUUUAAAGAUUCUUGCUUGCCUGUAGAUUGUUUUUAUUCUGGUCUUGCAAGAUUUUCAACUUAUCUUCAGUGUUGCAGAGAGGUAAUAAAGUCAGCUAUCCUGGAUCUUAUCUUUGAUUUAAAAUACCUUAUUCUUUCUCACUUUGCUCUGCUCUUUUGGUUCUGGUAGCCUCUGCAAAAUAGAAUAAGUAUUUUCAUUCAAUUCUGCAGGUGGUGAAAGACAUAAAACAUUAGAAUGGGUCCUUUAAAACAGCUGUAAACUAAAAUGAUGCUUGUAAACUGAAAUACUGCAGUUUUGUUCACCCUGAAUUUUAAAAUAGUUUCAUGAGGUAAUUGAGCCUUAAAGGAUCUGUGUUUUUUAACUCUAUAAUGUUAUUAUGCAGUUGCCACAGGGGGAGCAUAUGCUUGCUGCCAAAAUCUAAAACUGGAAUCUUGGAUGUUAAACAGAUAAGAUUAAGUCAUAGACUUCAGCUGUAUUAGAAGCAAGCACAACAUUCAUCUGAAGCAUGUGACAGCUAUGUCCUGGAAAACUGUUUCUAGACAGACAUUCUUGCCUGCUUACAUAGACUGAAAUAGGCCAUUCUCAUUCAUUCAGUCUACUGAGUUUUAAGCACCUCUGUAGAGCUAUUUGCUUGAAUGUUUUCCCCAUUUUCCUGAAGUGUGGCGUUGCUUCUUUAAGGAGCCUUGUAAAUGAAGCCUUUCACCUAAGAUGGUUAUUCUGUUAAGGAUUUCUGUGGUUUUUAUUGGUCACUGAGAACACACCAUGACAUUUGGGUUUUAAGACUUAUUUUUUCUUAAUUGUAUUAAUGGGUUUGAGUCUAUGUUGGAUUUCAGGAA
This is a long non-coding RNA of Motacilla alba alba, 6456 nucleotides long. RefSeq lists it as uncharacterized. NCBI's taxonomy places the organism in Eukaryota, Metazoa, Chordata, Aves, Passeriformes, Motacillidae. The transcript is spliced from 3 exons. The record is from RefSeq and is a predicted model, not a curated record.